CUGCACUGCAACUCGACUCCAUGAAGUCGGAAUCGCUAGUAAUCGUGGAUCAGAAUGCCACGGUGAAUACGUUCCCGGGCCUUGUACACACCGCCCGUCACACCAUGGGAGUGGGUUGCAAAAGAAGUAGGUAGCUUAACCUUCGGGAGGGCGCUUACCACUUUGUGAUUCAUGACUGGGGUGAAGUCGUAACAAGGUAACCGUAGGGGAACCUGCGGUUGGAUCACCUCCUUA
This 234-nucleotide ribosomal RNA is filed under the name Salmonella enterica. RNAcentral's name for it is "partial 16S ribosomal RNA". It matches the Rfam family "Bacterial small subunit ribosomal RNA", at positions 1298 to 1533 of the family's 1533-position model. Lineage: Bacteria; Pseudomonadati; Pseudomonadota; Gammaproteobacteria; Enterobacterales; Enterobacteriaceae. The record is from RNAcentral.